Molecule: long non-coding RNA, 499 nt
Filed under: Vigna radiata
Lineage: Eukaryota; Viridiplantae; Streptophyta; Magnoliopsida; Fabales; Fabaceae
Description: long non-coding RNA (VRAD_LNC006202)
Source: RNAcentral
UUGGGAGGCAGUUAAGGGGAUUCUGAACAUUGGGGAAUAAGCCGCGGUUCUCUGGCCAACCGCGGCCUAUUCCCUGGUCUCAGUAAAUUUUAAAAUUUUCAGGGUAUAUGCCGCGGUUCAGCGUCCAACCGCGGCAUAUAAGUUAAAAAAAAAUUUCAAAAAUGCCAUUUUGUUUUAUUUUUUUAAAAUGAAUAGGCCGCGGUUAUGUGUAGAACCGCGACCUAUUCCCCCUUUAUGUCGCGGUUAAGUGUAGAACCGCGACAGAUUCUCUUCUGAAGGUUAAAAAAACAAAAUUCACCAACAGUUCUUCUUCCCCACGCGAUUUCUGAAACAAUUUUUCUUCCCCGUGCGAUUUCCGUCCAGGCGCUUUGCUUCUCCGUCCAGUCUCUGCUUCUCCGUCCAGUCUCUACUUCUCCUUCCAUCUCCGCGCCAGACCCUGCUUCUCCGCCGCAACCGUGCCGGACCCUGCUUCUCCGCCGCAACCUUCUUCUCUCCGGUG